UACGUAGGGUGCGAGCGUUAAUCGGAAUUACUGAGCGUAAAGCGUGCGCAGGCGGCUUUGCAAGACAGAUGUGAAAUCCCCGGGCUCAACCUGGGAACUGCAUUUGUGACUGCAAGGCUAGAGUACGGCAGAGGGGGAUGGAAUUCCGCGUGUAGCAGUGAAAUGCGUAGAUGUGCGGAGGAACACCAAUGGCGAAGGCAAUCCCCUGGGCCUGUACUGACGCUCAUGCACGAAAGCGUGGGGAGCAAACAGG
This 253-nucleotide ribosomal RNA is filed under the name uncultured bacterium. Its description in RNAcentral is "partial 16S ribosomal RNA". It matches the Rfam family "Bacterial small subunit ribosomal RNA", at positions 524 to 776 of the family's 1533-position model. The record is from RNAcentral.